RNAcentral lists this microRNA precursor (90 nucleotides) under Hippoglossus hippoglossus (Atlantic halibut). RNAcentral describes it as "microRNA hhi-mir-7792 precursor". Lineage: Eukaryota; Metazoa; Chordata; Actinopteri; Pleuronectiformes; Pleuronectidae. The record is from miRBase by way of RNAcentral.
UUGGUAUCACUGAAUGUGCCACUUGAGACGAAAAUUGUUAGACUUGCUAUGAUGGUGUAAUUUGCGACUUACUCUGUGAUCAGUGACAGA